UACGUAGGGAGCAAGCGUUGUCCGGAAUCAUUGGGCGUAAAGCGCGCGUAGGUGGCCCGGUAAGUCCGCUCUGAAAGCCACAGGCUCAACCUGUGAAAGCGGGUGGAUACUGCCGGGCUAGAGUCCGGAAGAGGCGAGUGGAAUUCCUGGUGUAGCGGUGGAAUGCGCAGAUAUCAGGAGGAACACCAACGGCGAAGGCAGCUCGCUGGGACGGUACUGACACUGAGGCGCGAAAGCGUGGGGAGCGAACAGG
Molecule: ribosomal RNA, 253 nt
Filed under: uncultured bacterium
Lineage: Bacteria
Description: partial 16S ribosomal RNA
Rfam family: Bacterial small subunit ribosomal RNA
Source: RNAcentral